This 1379-nucleotide long non-coding RNA is filed under the name Callithrix jacchus (white-tufted-ear marmoset). Its description in RNAcentral is "lncRNA (ENSCJAG00000086559.1)". Lineage: Eukaryota; Metazoa; Chordata; Mammalia; Primates; Cebidae. The record is from RNAcentral.
CCUAGCCAGAAAAUUACUUAAAGUAGUGGUUCUCAAAGUGUGGUCUGUGACCCAGCAGCAUCAGCAUCCUCUGGGACUUUGUUAUUCAUGCAAAUCAUUGGGCAAUCAGGAACUUGUGGUUUGCAAGCUCUCCAGAUGAUUUUGAUGGCUGUGGAUGUGAGAGAGGUGGUGCUGUUUGAGACAGUCUCUGUGAAGAGGACCACCUAUGACCUGAGGUAGAGAGAGGAGUCCACAGCCAGCACCUAGAAUAUGGAUGUCAGAAAUUCGCAACUGCAAGCUCCCUCCGAGAGGGCUCCAGGACUGAAAGAUCCAGCCAGAUGUGCCUUCUGCAUCUCCAGAGGAAAUGAACUCCAGAUUACAGUUGCUCUAGAUUUGUGAGAGUGUUCACUUUCCCUAAUGCAGAGUCCCUCAGCCUGACUCAGGACCUUGGUCAUGGACGUGAUUUUUUUGCUGAAUACCCAUUAGAGCCAAGGUCCUGGGGUGCUAUAUAAAAUACCUAAACCUGGUAAGUUAAAAUUGAAACUGUGGGUAAAGUUCUGUAAACUCUGAUACACUAAGAGGUGUGAGAGGUACUGGACUAGUGAGAAUCUGAGGAGGCAAAAAUAGAAACAAAAGGAGAAUUCAAACUUCUUCCAUUCUAUCUCACUACAUGUAUCUAAGACUGAAAAACUGUAAAAGGGACAGGUGUAAGGUAGAAAAAAAGAGAAGUUUAGCCGAAUAGGACUUUUAAUCUACUAAUUCCAUUAAUAUUUCAAUUUACUCAGCAAAUAUUUAUUGAGUACCUACGUCAUCAUAUGUUCUCUUUGUCAGGUUCUAGCCCACGCUGAGGUUCGAGGGGAGUUGGUGGGCAGGUGGUGGGUAGCUGGAAAGAAACUCAAGGAAUUGCAGGCCAUUGUGACAUCACUUUAUUCUCUCUCUAGGUUCAAGCCUUUGUCUUGACUGAUCGCUCCAGCCACAGUCCCUCUUAGUGUGGCUCCAUGGCUCCUGUUCACCGCCCCCUCCACCUGCAGCUGUGCUCCCUGGCAUGCUUGCCAUUACCUGGCUUCCCUCUUCUGCCUGCAAGGCAGCCAGCUCUAUUAUAUUCUAAGGAGUUCAUUAUCACCCUUGAAGGAUCUGUACUUAGGGAUUCUGGAGUGUGCGCCUUGCUGUAAAGGCAUGGACAGUCCUUGAGGAAGAAAAGAGACACAAUUGGGAAAGAAUAUUCACCAGUAUCCCUCUAGGAUUUCCCCAAUGAACCUUGAGAGUUAUUACCCAAGGUUUUCUGAACACUAACAGAUAGUACAACCUUGAUUUUCUAUAAAUCUCACUAAGUCCCCAACAUACAAUGCUGUUCUCACCUCUGCAUAUUUUUUAUUGUUCUUCUUGAACUCAAAGGCUGU